UACGUAGGUGGCAAGCGUUGUCCGGAAUUAUUGGGCGUAAAGCGCGCGCAGGCGGUUCCUUAAGUCUGAUGUGAAAGCCCCCGCUCACCGGGAGGGUCAUUGGAAACUAGGGGACGUUGAGUGCAGAAGAGGAGAGCGGAAUUCCACGUGUAGCGGUGAAAUGCGUAGAGAUGUGGAGGAACACCAGUGGCGAAGGCGGCUCUCUGGUCUGUAACUGACGCUGAGGCGCGAAAGCGUGGGGAGCGAACAGGAUUAGAAACCCUGGUAGU
RNAcentral lists this ribosomal RNA (269 nucleotides) under uncultured bacterium. Its description in RNAcentral is "partial 16S ribosomal RNA". It matches the Rfam family "Bacterial small subunit ribosomal RNA", at positions 524 to 794 of the family's 1533-position model. The record is from RNAcentral.